UUUGGGAGUUGGGAGGUGAGAUGAUUGGAGUGAAGAGAGUUAAUGUCAUGGAAAGGAAAAGCUGUCUGAAGAAAAAUACACAUUUUAAUGUCCCUCUUCAGCCGUGCCUGCUGAGAGCUCUCCUGGGAUGAUAAGUGAAAGUGUUUGGAUUUUUUUUUAAGUUUUAAAACUCUGCCAAAGCAUUGCUCAGUGUAUCUGGGCAGCCCCUUCCGGCAAAACGCAGCAGUAGCAGAGGCAGCUUCUGAGAGCCUGGGCAGGCAGCAGCUGGCUGACCAAGUCCACUGGAAGAGAAGGCUUGUGCCAGCCGGGAGAAGGAAGCCGGGGACAGGAUGAAAGCAACAACACCUUUACAGACAGUCGACCGGCCCAAGGACUGGUACAAGACGAUGUUUAAGCAAAUUCACAUGGUGCACAAGCCGGAUGAUGACACAGACAUGUAUAAUACUCCUUAUACAUACAAUGCAGGUCUGUACAACCCACCCUACAGUGCUCAGUCACACCCUGCUGCAAAGACCCAAACCUACAGACCUCUUUCCAAAAGCCACUCUGACAACAGCCCCAAUGCCUUUAAGGAUGUGUCCUCCCCAGUGCCUCCCCCACAUGUUCCACCUCCAGUCCCACCGCUUCGACCAAGAGAUCGGUCUUCAACAGAAAAGCAUGACUGGGAUCCUCCAGACAGAAAAGUGGACACAAGAAAAUUUCGGUCUGAGCCAAGGAGUAUUUUUGAAUAUGAACCUGGCAAGUCAUCAAUUCUUCAGCAUGAAAGACCACCCCCUCUCCCAACAACUCCGACACCUGUUCCAAGGGAACCUGGCCGGAAGCCUCUUUCUAGCUCCCGACUCGGAGAAGUCACUGGUAGCCCCUCCCCUCCGCCCCGGAGUGGCGCCCCCACACCAAGCUCGCGCGCCCCG
RNAcentral lists this small RNA (911 nucleotides) under Pan troglodytes (chimpanzee). Its description in RNAcentral is "processed transcript". The record is from RNAcentral. Lineage: Eukaryota; Metazoa; Chordata; Mammalia; Primates; Hominidae.